AGGAAUAUUGGUCAAUGGGCGGAAGCCUGAACCAGCCAUGCCGCGUGCAGGAAGACGGCCCUACGGGUUGUAAACUGCUUUUGUACCAGAAUAAACCCUUUUAUGUAUAGGAGGCUGAAUGUAUGGUAAGAAUAAGGAUCGGCUAACUCCGUGCCAGCAGCCGCGGUAAUACGGAGGAUCCGAGCGUUAUCCGGAUUUAUUGGGUUUAAAGGGUGCGUAGGCGGCCUUGUAAGUCAGGGGUGAAAGACGGUAGCUCAACUAUCGCAGUGCCUUUGAUACUGCAGGGCUUGAAUGUACUUGAGGCAGGCGGAAUGUGACAAGUAGCGGUGAAAUGCAUAGAUAUGUCACAGAACACCAAUUGCGAAGGCAGCUUGCUAAGGUAUGAUUGACGCUGAGGCACGAAAGCGUGGGGAUCAAA
RNAcentral lists this ribosomal RNA (418 nucleotides) under uncultured bacterium. Its description in RNAcentral is "bacterial SSU rRNA". It matches the Rfam family "Bacterial small subunit ribosomal RNA", at positions 357 to 772 of the family's 1533-position model. The record is from RNAcentral.